Molecule: long non-coding RNA, 922 nt
Organism: Tympanuchus pallidicinctus (lesser prairie-chicken)
Lineage: Eukaryota; Metazoa; Chordata; Aves; Galliformes; Phasianidae
Exons: 2
Source: RefSeq, a predicted model, not a curated record
GGAAGACUGUUAAGCAAAACAGACCUGGCUGGCCUGAAAGGGUCAAACAGGGAACACGCGGCCCCUCCUGAAAGGGAAGGACUGCCAUGUGAAACUGGCAAGCAUAAGCUACAGCUUCUUCGUUCCGUGACCAAGAGCAGAACGUGUUCUGUGGAGAGAACACCUUUUGAUCACUGUACUGACCAAAAUCCACAAAGAGCUAAUUAAGUAAUGAUGUAUUGCUGUCAGCUGCAUGAAUGUUAUCUGAUUUAAGUAUUGUAUACUCCUGUAGCUAAAAGAUAUAAAAACCCUGUAACAACAAUAAACUUUGCUUCUUGCGCCACCAGAGCCUUAAGCCCGUCUGUCCCAGGCGUCUUGAGCUGGUCUCCGUCAUCUGGUGCCGAAACCCGGGAUACUCGGACUCCAAUGACAAAGGCGUCGCUUCCUCCCACGAGCCGCGGUUGUAGCCUCAGCCUUGUCUGGUGAAAAACUCUCUCAUGUAUGCAACCAUCUUUUGCAUUGUUUUAGCGUUAUGGGAACAAUGAAAUCAUUAAAAACCGAUCACGGGCCAGCUUAUGUAAGUAGCGGUUUUGCAACCUUUUGUCGACAUUUUAAAAUUCACCAUAAAACUGGAAUUCCAUAUAAUCCAGAAGGCCAAGGCAUAGUAGAAAAAUUUAAUCAUUUUCUGAAAACUCAACUAAAGAAAAUAAAAGGGGGGACAUGAGGAAUUAAAGAUACUCCGUCCUCUAUAUUAUCACAUGCAUUAUUUGUUUUAAAUUUUUUGACACUGGAUGAUGAUGGAAAAUUGGCUGCGAAUAGAUAUUGGAGUAAUAAAACAAGAGAUAAACCAAUGGCAUAUUGGAGAAAUCCAAUGGACGGUAAAAUUUAUGGUACUGAUCCUGUACUAAUUUGGGGCAGAGGAUAUGCUUGUGUCUUCCCUACA